CAACGAUAAUAGCAAACCUAGUGAAAACUAGCGACGCAAAACUAUAGGGUCUUCCUUAGAUAUUCUAAGAUGAUAGCCAGUUACCGAA
Molecule: regulatory RNA element, 88 nt
Rfam family: c-di-GMP-I riboswitch aptamer
About the family: GEMM was predicted in a large-scale screen for bacterial structured RNA regulatory elements. Genes associated with GEMM are involved in a diverse array of functions, including chemotaxis regulation, signal transduction, secretion and chitin.
Source: Rfam